GGGCCCAUAGCUCAGUGGCAGAGCGACAGCCUCUUAAGCUGUGCGUCGUAGGUUCGAAUCCUACUGGGCCCGCCA
RNAcentral lists this transfer RNA (75 nucleotides) under Candidatus Nealsonbacteria bacterium CG07_land_8_20_14_0_80_40_10. RNAcentral's name for it is "tRNA-Lys". It matches the Rfam family "tRNA". From Rfam's summary of the family: Transfer RNA (tRNA) molecules are approximately 80 nucleotides in length. Their secondary structure includes four short double-helical elements and three loops (D, anti-codon, and T loops). The record is from RNAcentral. Lineage: Bacteria; Candidatus Nealsoniibacteriota. RNAcentral also lists the same sequence under 1 other name.